RNAcentral lists this non-coding RNA (421 nucleotides) under Orbilia pseudopolybrocha. RNAcentral describes it as "Drechslerella sp. ZY-2011b partial 18S ribosomal RNA". The stretch from base 24 to 380 matches the Rfam family "Group I catalytic intron". From Rfam's summary of the family: Group I catalytic introns are large self-splicing ribozymes. Lineage: Eukaryota; Fungi; Ascomycota; Orbiliomycetes; Orbiliales; Orbiliaceae. The record is from RNAcentral.
UAACGAUCAGGGUGAGCUUAUGAGAGCCUUUGUGGCCCUGCAAAGGGUAUCCGCCGCGACUAUAAAAAAAGAAUGUGGGUAUUAAAUCGCAAGUCAGCUCCGGCUGGCCACACUUUCGAAUUGCGGGGACUCCCUAAAGCUCUAUUCUACCAACCGUACGGGGAAACUCGAACGGGGCCUUUGUUAACAGCAUUGGGUACGGUAACAACGAAGAGAGAUGUGCUGAGCUGCGCUUUGCAGCCGGCCAAUGGGUGAUCCGCAGCCAAGUCCCUAACGUGCCCCGCGGCACCAGGGGAAAGGUUCACAGACUAAGUGGAAGUGGGUUGAACGGAAAAACCGUUCAGCUUAAGAUAUAGUCGGGCCUCGGUUGAAAAACCUGGGAAGUCACUGUUCCGUAGGUGAACCUGCGGAAGGAUCAUUA